This 347-nucleotide unclassified non-coding RNA is filed under the name Hevea brasiliensis (rubber tree). Lineage: Eukaryota; Viridiplantae; Streptophyta; Magnoliopsida; Malpighiales; Euphorbiaceae. The record is from RNAcentral.
AGAAAACAAUAAUCAAAACCCAUAUCACAUAAAGCAUUAAUUAUCACAAGAACUUGCCAAUUUUUGUCAUUUGGGUUCUGAGCCUUUUCCAUGUUGUGUCGAUUCCUUUCUAUGGCUUGAUCGACUCAUUACUAGCACCAUGUCUGAAUCUGACCACUGAAGUAGCUCUUUGAAGUAGCUUGUUUGAAAAUGGCAGUGGAUGGAUGAUGGGUUCUGAUUGAUCUGGUUUUGUGAUUCAUUUUUAUGAAUCUUUGGUUUUUCGGACUAGUGCUCUUACCGCAACCCUCUACGGAGAAACAGAGUAAGCCCUAAAAAUCGACACUUGCUGCCCUUAACCUCAGCAUCAG